AAAAACCUGCACGUCUUGCCUUUUCAUAUUUCCUCAGUUUAUUUCAUGCAGUGUUUUUAAAGAACAUGUCAUCUUUUCUGUCUUGACGAUAAUGUGGGUGGUUGUAAUUUAUAUCAGCACUUUAAGGGGAUUUUGUUAGAAUCUGAGUGGGGGCGAGCUUUAGCCCCUUAAUGAUGUGUAUAAAGUCUGUUCAACAAAUUUUUAAAUUAUAACGUAGCUUCCUAAUGGAUGUUUAGAUAUAUCACUUCUUCAAGAUUGUACGUCAUUUGGUAAUUGUGAUUUCUGUAUGCGCAUGCCCUUAUUGUGUGCUUUGUUGCUAUGCUUCUGUUGCAAGUAGGAACUGUGAACAUGGCUCCUUUUUUUAUGAUUAUCCUUGUGAUUAGCAGUUUCAAAUCGUACUCUUUUUUCCCAACUUGGUAACUUUUGGAUUCUUUACGAGCGUCUCUCUUUUAU
This 453-nucleotide long non-coding RNA is filed under the name Olea europaea subsp. europaea. The record is from RNAcentral. Lineage: Eukaryota; Viridiplantae; Streptophyta; Magnoliopsida; Lamiales; Oleaceae.